GCCCACCCCCAUUCAGCGCGCUCUGCAAACCCUUCUUCCUUCUGCAAACCCGUACUCUCUCGCUCGCUGCCUCACCCUCGCCCUCUCUCUCGCCUCUCGCUUGACGCUUGCUCGCUCUCGCUCGCUGCUCGCCCUCGCCUCUCAGUCGAUAGCUGGGGAGGUCGCAUCUAUGGCUACUGGCUCUGGCUCUCUAACUCUUGCUCUCGCUGGGUGACUUGGUCGCUCGCCUCUCUGCAUUGCCAUUGGGACACUUCGGUUCAAUCCUUUGAGGAAGGCAGUGGGCAUCCCUUCAUACUCUAGAGACAAAAAGACUAGAGGGGACAAAAAUGAAAGUUAAGCUCUUGCGUAUCCUUCUUUUGAUUAGUAUUGUUACUUUUUUUUAAACCAUGGUAUUAUUAUUGUUCUCUAUCAAACACUUUUUAUGUUUAUGUAUGUCGUAAAUAGAUGCUAUUUUUCAUUUGGCUUUUUUCUUUAUUCUCUUAUAUGGCUUGGAAUUAAUAUCAUUGACAGAAGGAUAAACUAUAUGUGUAAACCUGAUAUUAAGUGUCUAGACAAUUACAAUCCUGUACUGCCAAAAAAUCUGUCAGUUAUAUUCUCAUUUGAAUCCUGAUUUUCCCUUGAAAGUCUAGAGGGUAAAGAAAAGUGGAUACUAGGCAAAUGUGGGGAGUGUUCAUCUUCUCAUGGGAACCCAAACUUCCACAAGCAUUAUGAAUUGCAUCUGGAUGUCUUUCUGGAUUCAUGUGUUGAUGAUAAUUAGGGUUUUGUGGCAGUUAAAAUACUUGGCUUUUUCUUCAGUUCAAUUAAAUUGGUAAAAUGGUCUUCAACCAGCAGCUUGCUCACCAGUAAAAGAAUCUAAAAUUUUAGAGUUAAAGUGAAGACAUUUCUUGGUGGUGACUGGUUACCACCUAUUGAUAUUUUAACUAAAAGAUGUCCCUCUUGAAUAAUUUUAUAAAUUUAUUGUAGAAGUCUUUAGUUUUUAGACAUUCUAUCAAGUAAUUCAGUUGAAGACAUUUUUCAAUGAUUUGAAUUUCAUAAAUGGGCGAUUGUUUUGUUUUUAGUUCGGAAAUUGCAUAAGUUUUUAAUGCUGAUAAAUAUUGUCUCCAUAAAAAAUUCAAUUAUUUUAAUAUGUAGUUUACCAGCUAGCUUUGCGGAUUAUUAUUGUUGUUGUUUUAUCUAUUUGAAGCCUUUGUUCUUUCUUGACCUAGUCGUCUUGGGACACUGUUGGGAUCAUGAA
Diospyros lotus (date-plum) is the source of this 1234-nucleotide long non-coding RNA. RefSeq lists it as uncharacterized. The record is from RefSeq and is a predicted model, not a curated record. Lineage: Eukaryota; Viridiplantae; Streptophyta; Magnoliopsida; Ericales; Ebenaceae. The transcript has 3 exons.